GAUGAACGCUGGCGGCGUGCCUAAUACAUGCAAGUCGAACGGUGUGGAGCAAUCCACACAGUGGCGAACGGGUGAGUAACGCGUUGGUGACCUGCCCCGAAGAGGGGGAUAACGAGCCGAAAGGCUCGCUAAUACCCCAUGUGCUCUGGCUGGUUAGAGAGGUCAGAGGAAAAGGUGAAAAUUGCUUCGGGAGGGGCCUGCGUCCCAUCAGCUAGUUGGUAAGGUAACGGCUUACCAAGGCGAUGACGGGUAGGGGACCUGAGAGGGUGACCCCCCACAAUGGAACUGAAACACGGUCCAUACACCUACGGGUGGCAGCAGUAGGGAAUAUUGCUUAAUGUGCGCAAGCGCGAAGCAGCAACGCCGCGUGUGCGAUGAAGGCCUUCGGGUUGUAAAGCACUUUUGGCUGGGAAGAGGAAGGACGGUACCAGCAGAAUAAGCCUCGGCUAACUACGUGCCAGCCGCCGCAGUAA
This 473-nucleotide ribosomal RNA is filed under the name uncultured bacterium. Its description in RNAcentral is "partial 16S ribosomal RNA". It matches the Rfam family "Bacterial small subunit ribosomal RNA", at positions 28 to 523 of the family's 1533-position model. The record is from RNAcentral.